CACACAGUAUGUCGCUCGCUCUAAAAGACAGUUGUCCUUCAUCACACCUGCGAUUAAUACAGUGGGCUACGUACGGCGCGAAAGAAGUUAAACAUAAAUCCAGAGAAAACCCACACAUAUGAGCACCAUAACACUACCCACGUAAAGAUCGAAUUGAUUUACUGUCCUGCCUUCUCCAUGCAAGCCAUUGUGAAGUCUUACCUGAAUGACUGUCUCCACAUCUUCACAGCCACUCGGGUGUUGGUCUUGUGGUCACGGCAUUUGAAGAUCUGGCUGUAAGGUCCGACCACCUUCUUCAGCACCUCAUACCGGAAAUUGAGAUGAUCAUGGUGUUUGUCAGUGUGCAGACUUUGUAUGUUCUCCACUUGUUACGUGCCCUGAGGAGAGCCGUACCGAGACAUAAUGGUUGUAGACAUCAUCGUAGCCAUGGUUCUGGGUGCCAAAGCCUUUGUUAUGGACGCCGAAAUACCAGAUGUUAUUCACGGUGAGGACCUCGCUUCUCUCGGUGGGGGUCAGGAAAUCCCCAAAGAGCUUCAAGAUUUCUGCAAACAUAAGAACAAUGAUGAUGAUUAAUACUGUACUAUUGUUUUAAUAUUGUUUUGUUAAAUAAAACGUUUUCGUUUCUUUAA
This is a non-coding RNA of Petromyzon marinus (sea lamprey), 629 nucleotides long. The record is from RefSeq and is a predicted model, not a curated record. NCBI's taxonomy places the organism in Eukaryota, Metazoa, Chordata, Hyperoartia, Petromyzontiformes, Petromyzontidae.